UUCCAGCACCGAUUAAAGUGAAAAUCCUCCCGAUUUUUAUCGGGAGAUUGCAGCGUAAAGCGGGAAAUAAG
Flavobacterium micromati is the source of this 71-nucleotide small RNA. It matches the Rfam family "Flavo-1 RNA". The record is from Rfam. NCBI's taxonomy places the organism in Bacteria, Pseudomonadati, Bacteroidota, Flavobacteriia, Flavobacteriales, Flavobacteriaceae.